GACAGCAGUCGCCGCGGUAAUACGAAGGGUGCAAGCGUUACUCGGAAUUACUGGGCGUAAAGCGUGCGUAGGUGGUGGUUUAAGUCCGUUGUGAAAGCCCUGGGCUCAACCUGGGAAUUGCAGUGGAUACUGGGUCACUAGAGUGUGGUAGAGGAUAGUGGAAUUUCCGGUGUAGCAGUGAAAUGCGUAGAGAUCGGAAGGAACAUCUGUGGCGAAGGCGACUAUCUGGGCCAACACUGACACUGAGGCACGAAAGCGUGGGGAGCAAACAGGAUUAGAUACCCCAGUAGUCCCUGUCUCUUAUAC
This 306-nucleotide ribosomal RNA is filed under the name uncultured bacterium. Its description in RNAcentral is "partial 16S ribosomal RNA". It matches the Rfam family "Bacterial small subunit ribosomal RNA", at positions 507 to 807 of the family's 1533-position model. The record is from RNAcentral.